AACGAACGCUGGCGGCAUGCCUAACACAUGCAAGUCGAACGAGACCUUCGGGUCUAGUGGCGCACGGGUGCGUAACGCGUGGGAACCUGCCCUUAGGUUCGGAAUAACUCCCCGAAAGGGGUGCUAAUACCGGCUAAUGUCUUCGGACCAAAGAUUUAUCGCCUUUGGAUGGGCCCGCGUUGGCUUAGCUAGUUGGUAGGGUAAAAGCCUACCAAGGCGACGAUCCAUAGCUGGUCUGAGAGGAUGAUCAGCCACACUGGGACUGAGACACGGCCCAGACUCCUACGGGAGGCAGCAGUGGGGAAUAUUGGACAAUGGGCGAAAGCCUGAUCCAGCAAUGCCGCGUGAGUGAUGAAGGCCGUAGGGUUGUAAAGCUCUUUUACCCGGGAUGAUAAUGACAGUACCGGGAGAAUAAGCUCCGGCUAACUCCGUG
This 433-nucleotide ribosomal RNA is filed under the name uncultured bacterium. RNAcentral describes it as "partial 16S ribosomal RNA". It matches the Rfam family "Bacterial small subunit ribosomal RNA", at positions 29 to 507 of the family's 1533-position model. The record is from RNAcentral.